CUGUACCUACGGGGGGCAGCAGUGGGGAAUAUUGGGCAAUGGGCGCAAGCCUGACCCAGCAACGCCGCGUGAAGGAAGAAGGCUUUCGGGUUGUAAACUUCUUUUCUCAGGGACGAAGCAAGUGACGGUACCUGAGGAAUAAGCCACGGCUAACUACGUGCCAGCAGCCGCGGUAAUACGUAGGUGGCAAGCGUUAUCCGGAUUUACUGGGUGUAAAGGGAGCGUAGACGGCAGCACAAGUCUGGAGUGAAAUCCCGGGGCUUAACCCCGGAACUGCUUUGGAAACUGUGCGGCUGGAGUGCAGG
Molecule: ribosomal RNA, 305 nt
Filed under: uncultured bacterium
Lineage: Bacteria
Description: bacterial SSU rRNA
Rfam family: Bacterial small subunit ribosomal RNA
Source: RNAcentral